CAUACCUAUUCGAAGGGAUAGGGUCGGUUCGGCCGGGUUUCACACAGGUGUUGCAUGGCUGUCGUCAGCUCGUGUCGUGAGAUGUUGGGUUAAGUCCCGCAACGAGCGCAACCCUCAUCCUUAGUUACCAUCAGGUAAUGCUGGGGACUUUAAGGAAACUGCCAGUGAUAAACUGGAGGAAGGUGGGGAUGAUGUCAAGUCAUCAUGGCCCUUAUGGAGUGGGCUACACACGUGCUACAAUGGUGGCUACAAUGGGCUGCAAAGUCGCGAGGCUAAGCUAAUCCCUUAAAAGCCAUCUCAGUUCGGAUUGUACUCUGCAACUCGAGUGCAUGAAGUUGGAAUCGCUAGUAAUCGUGGAUCAGCACGCCACGGUGAAUACGUUUUCGGGUCUUGUACACACUGCCCGUCACGCCAUGGGAAUUGGUUUCACUCGAAGCU
This 438-nucleotide ribosomal RNA is filed under the name Wolbachia endosymbiont of Glossina morsitans morsitans. RNAcentral describes it as "bacterial SSU rRNA". It matches the Rfam family "Bacterial small subunit ribosomal RNA", at positions 993 to 1428 of the family's 1533-position model. Lineage: Bacteria; Pseudomonadati; Pseudomonadota; Alphaproteobacteria; Rickettsiales; Anaplasmataceae. The record is from RNAcentral.